Molecule: long non-coding RNA, 482 nt
Organism: Pan troglodytes (chimpanzee)
Lineage: Eukaryota; Metazoa; Chordata; Mammalia; Primates; Hominidae
Exons: 3
Source: RefSeq, a predicted model, not a curated record
GGGGGCUGGCCCUCAUCUGGGAGGUCAGGAAAUGCUUCCCCGAGGAAAGGCUAUUUAAGCUGAAACCUGAGUACAGACGGGGUUUCACCAUAUUGGCCAGCUGGUCUCAAACUCCUGACCUUGUGCUCUGCCUGCCUCGGCCUCCCAAAGUGCUGGGAUUACAGGCAUGAGCCACCGCACCCGGCCCAAGCAUUAUUAUUUUCAAGAUGUCCUUCCAUCUGUGAUGAUAAUACAGGCAGUCCUCAACUUAACAAUGGUUCGACUUAAACAAUACUGUGACUUUAUAAAGGUGCUUUCAGUUGUGUAUAUUAAUGAGACAAGGUCCCCUGUGUUGCCCAGGCAGCUCUGGAACUCCUGGGCUCAAACUAUCUGCCUGCUUCAGCCUCCCAAAAUGCUGGGAUUACAGGUGUGAGCCACUGGGCCUAGCCAAAUGUAAUUCUUAGAUAAUCUUGAAAUAUAAAUUUCUUUUGUCCAUUACCAAA